Pyrus x bretschneideri (Chinese white pear) is the source of this 506-nucleotide long non-coding RNA. RefSeq lists it as uncharacterized. The record is from RefSeq and is a predicted model, not a curated record. Lineage: Eukaryota; Viridiplantae; Streptophyta; Magnoliopsida; Rosales; Rosaceae. The transcript is spliced from 2 exons.
GACUUCAUUAAUCGUUUAGAAGCGCAUCCAACGAUGUGAGAGCAGAAGGGGAGCAAGCAUGUGAGUGCAGAAGACUUAGCUGCUUGAACAAGAAUGACUGUUGCAGGGCGUUCUACAUGUUUUUGGCUUUCAACAUUUUUGCUUCGAGACUUUGCUGCUUGAACAAGAACGAAACACCAUCUUAACUGCAAGGCAAAAUACGUGUGGACUGGAUGUUACUUCCGUUUCUUACUGAAACAGGCGUCUUGCAUGUUUUUUGCUUUGCACGUUUGUGCUUGAAAACUUUGAUGCUAGAAUAAGAACGAAACAGUUUUUAUGUUGCCUAACCUAUAGGAUAUAUAUUUUGCCACAUUGACUAUAGGGGCAAGAUUUGUGUGAACUGUAUGUUACUUCUGUUUAUUAGGGAACCAAAACGUUCAGUUUCGUCCUGUUCAUUAUACAAUGUCUUUUCAUGUCAACUCAGUUGAAUGUAUAUAAAAACGAAGCUGCAUAUCGUACUGACCUCA